This 466-nucleotide ribosomal RNA is filed under the name uncultured bacterium. Its description in RNAcentral is "partial 16S ribosomal RNA". It matches the Rfam family "Bacterial small subunit ribosomal RNA", at positions 28 to 507 of the family's 1533-position model. The record is from RNAcentral.
GAUGAACGCUGGCGGCGUGCUUAACACAUGCAAGUCGAACGAUGAAGCCCAGCUUGCUGGGUGGGUUCGUGGCGAACGGGUGAGUAACACGUGAGUAACCUGCCCUUAACUCUUGGAUAAGCCUGGGAAACUGGGUCUAAUACCGGAUAGGAGCGUCCACCGCAUGGUGGGUGUUGGAAAGAUUUAUCGGUUUUGGAUGGACUCGCGGCCUAUCAGCUUGUUGGUGAGGUAAUGGCUCACCAAGGCGACGACGGGUAGCCGGCCUGAGAGGGUGACCGGCCACACUGGGACUGAGACACGGCCCAGACUCCUACGGGAGGCAGCAGUGGGGAAUAUUGCACAAUGGGCGCAAGCCUGAUGCAGCGACGCCGCGUGCGGGAUGACGGCCUUCGGGUUGUAAACCUCUUUCAGUAGGGAAGAAGCGAAAGUGACGGUACCUGCAGAAGAAGCACCGGCUAACUACGUG